CAGCAGCCGCGGUAAUACGGAGGGGGCUAGCGUUGUUCGGAAUUACUGGGCGUAAAGCGCACGUAGGCGGCUUGGUAAGUUAGAGGUGAAAGCCCAGGGCUCAACCCUGGAAUUGCCUUUAAGACUGCCGAGCUAGUAGGUGAGAGAGGUGGGUGGAAUUCCGAGUGUAGAGGUGAAAUUCGUAGAUAUUCGGAAGAACACCAGUGGCGAAAGCGGCUCACUGGACCAUUACUGACGCUGAGGCGCGAAAGCUAGGGGAGCAAACAGGAUUAGAUACCCCCGUAGUCCCUGUCUCUUAUAC
This 301-nucleotide ribosomal RNA is filed under the name uncultured bacterium. RNAcentral describes it as "partial 16S ribosomal RNA". It matches the Rfam family "Bacterial small subunit ribosomal RNA", at positions 509 to 807 of the family's 1533-position model. The record is from RNAcentral.